This 479-nucleotide ribosomal RNA is filed under the name uncultured bacterium. Its description in RNAcentral is "bacterial SSU rRNA". It matches the Rfam family "Bacterial small subunit ribosomal RNA", at positions 29 to 502 of the family's 1533-position model. The record is from RNAcentral.
AUUGAACGCUGGCGGCAUGCUUUACACAUGCAAGUCGAACGGCAGCGGGGGCUUCGGCCUGCCGGCGAGUGGCGAACGGGUGAGUAAUGCAUCGGAACGUGCCCAUGUCGUGGGGGAUAACGUAGCGAAAGCUACGCUAAUACCGCAUACGUCCUGAGGGAGAAAGCGGGGGAUCUUUGGACCUCGCGCGAUUGGAGCGGCCGAUGUCGGAUUAGCUAGUAGGUGAGGUAAAGGCUCACCUAGGCGACGAUCCGUAGCGGGUCUGAGAGGAUGAUCCGCCACACUGGGACUGAGACACGGCCCAGACUCCUACGGGAGGCAGCAGUGGGGAAUUUUGGACAAUGGGGGCAACCCUGAUCCAGCCAUGCCGCGUGAGUGAAGAAGGCCUGGUGUAAGCUCUUCGUCCGGAGAAGUACGUGGUCGUCUAACAUAAGGCCGAUGGAUGACGGUACGGACCGUAAGAAGACGCCGGCGUAACU